Molecule: long non-coding RNA, 151 nt
Organism: Hibiscus syriacus
Lineage: Eukaryota; Viridiplantae; Streptophyta; Magnoliopsida; Malvales; Malvaceae
Exons: 3
Source: RefSeq, a predicted model, not a curated record
CAUGAGAUCUGUUCUCCCGAAAUCCUUUCCAGUUCAAAACCCAUAUUUUUCUUUUGUUAAGUUCUCCAUAGCCAAGUACCUCAAGCUUGUUCAUCCUAGAAUGAAAUGUUCAUUUUUUGGGAACUUGAACCAGAGGAAGCUUGUUAUCAAU